RNAcentral lists this transfer RNA (65 nucleotides) under Marmota monax (woodchuck). RNAcentral describes it as "tRNA.Ala". It matches the Rfam family "tRNA", at positions 7 to 64 of the family's 71-position model. From Rfam's summary of the family: Transfer RNA (tRNA) molecules are approximately 80 nucleotides in length. Their secondary structure includes four short double-helical elements and three loops (D, anti-codon, and T loops). Further hydrogen bonds mediate the characteristic L-shaped molecular structure. tRNAs have two regions of fundamental functional importance: the anti-codon, which is responsible for specific mRNA codon recognition, and the 3' end, to which the tRNAs corresponding amino acid is attached (by aminoacyl-tRNA synthetases). tRNAs cope with the degeneracy of the genetic code in two manners: having more than one tRNA (with a specific anti-codon) for a particular amino acid; and 'wobble' base-pairing, i.e. permitting non-standard base-pairing at the 3rd anti-codon position. Lineage: Eukaryota; Metazoa; Chordata; Mammalia; Rodentia; Sciuridae. The record is from RNAcentral.
GGUGUGGCUCAGUGGUAGAGCGCUUGCCUGGCAGGCAUGAGGUCCUGGGUUCAAUCCCCAGCCCA